RNAcentral lists this ribosomal RNA (253 nucleotides) under uncultured bacterium. Its description in RNAcentral is "partial 16S ribosomal RNA". It matches the Rfam family "Bacterial small subunit ribosomal RNA", at positions 524 to 776 of the family's 1533-position model. The record is from RNAcentral.
UACAGAGGGUGCAAACGUUGUUCGGAAUUACUGGGCGUAAAGCGUGUGUAGGCGGUUCGGUAAGUCGGAUGUGAAAGCCCCGGGCUCAACCCGGGAAGUGCACUCGAUACUGCCGAGCUAGAGUAUCGGAGAGGUUGGUGGAAUUCUCGGUGUAGAGGUGAAAUUCGUAGAUAUCGAGAGGAACACCGGUGGCGAAGGCGGCCAACUGGACGAAUACUGACGCUGAGACUCGAAAGCGUGGGGAGCAAACAGG